This 728-nucleotide ribosomal RNA is filed under the name uncultured bacterium. RNAcentral's name for it is "bacterial SSU rRNA". It matches the Rfam family "Bacterial small subunit ribosomal RNA", at positions 772 to 1500 of the family's 1533-position model. The record is from RNAcentral.
ACAGGAUUAGAUACCCUGGUAGUCCACGCCGUAAACGAUGUCGACUUGGAGGCUGUUCCCUUGAGGAGUGGCUUCCGGAGCUAACGCGUUAAGUCGACCGCCUGGGGAGUACGGCCGCAAGGUUAAAACUCAAAUGAAUUGACGGGGGCCCGCACAAGCGGUGGAGCAUGUGGUUUAAUUCGAUGCAACGCGAAGAACCUUACCUACUCUUGACAUCCAGAGAACUUUCCAGAGAUGGAUUGGUGCCUUCGGGAACUCUGAGACAGGUGCUGCAUGGCUGUCGUCAGCUCGUGUUGUGAAAUGUUGGGUUAAGUCCCGCAACGAGCGCAACCCUUAUCCUUUGUUGCCAGCGAUUCGGUCGGGAACUCAAAGGAGACUGCCGGUGAUAAACCGGAGGAAGGUGGGGAUGACGUCAAGUCAUCAUGGCCCUUACGAGUAGGGCUACACACGUGCUACAAUGGCGCAUACAAAGAGAAGCGACCUCGCGAGAGCAAGCGGACCUCAUAAAGUGCGUCGUAGUCCGGAUCGGAGUCUGCAACUCGACUCCGUGAAGUCGGAAUCGCUAGUAAUCGUGGAUCAGAAUGCCACGGUGAAUACGUUCCCGGGCCUUGUACACACCGCCCGUCACACCAUGGGAGUGGGUUGCAAAAGAAGUAGGUAGCUUAACCUUCGGGAGGGCGCUUACCACUUUGUGAUUCAUGACUGGGGUGAAGUCGUAACAAGGUAAC